CCAGCAUUUUUUGGGCCAGCCUGGAUACUGAAAUAGCAAAGUUUAAUAUCAUGAGGAUCAGGGAGAGCCCUGCCCACCUCACAACCACCCAGGUUCUGCCAUUAGCCCUGGGAAUCCUGUGCUACCAGGUUGAGUGUGGCCAGGGGAACCCAGGCCAGUUCCAGCUUGGGCAGGUCUCAGCCUCCUCACCUCUGACCCCAAGGCCCAGGUACUUCCCUUUCUUACCAGCUGUGCCUUUGGCUAGGGCAGGGAGGAGGUUUAGGGAGGUCCUAGAGAAUUUGGGUCCAGCUGUGGGGAUGGGGGGACCCCAACACACCCCUGGCUCCAGUGCCAGUAGAUACAGAACUGAGAACUUUACUGAAGGUGCCACAAAGCCACAGACUACCUAUGAUGGGGAAAAGUUCUUCCAUGUCCCAUGGGCUAGUGACACUGCAUCUUGUCACACAUAGUGAUGCACACAGGUGGAGCCACACCCAUGUCCCUGGGAGGGCCAGGCAUAUGAGAAUGCCUAUAUGGUCACAUGAGCAUCUCACAUGUGCCAUCAUUCCACAAGCCUUAUCCACUGUGACCAAAACAGCUGAAUCAUUACAAGCACCAGAUCCCAGACCACACUGAAGCAUGUAGGGUUAAAGGACAGGACACAGGAAGCUGGACUAAAGUACAGGUCAUUUCAAGCUCAAACUAUCCCUAUCCUUGUCGCCAAGGCCACACACAAGACCAUACAGUGUCUGGAAUUGUGGGCACACACAGGUCGACUGGCAGAGGUCCACAUGUAGUCACUUGUCACAGUCCUGGAACCACAUUUCAGCUGGGUGGUGCCAGGACACUGGGAUCUCCAAAUGCUCCUCCCACUGAUGGAACCCAGGCUUAUCUGGACUGAGGAGCAGGCUCCUACGAUGCCUUCCACAGCUCCAGCCAUGGUCAAUCAGUGAGAGGCACCCCGGGUUUCUCUCGCCACUUGUAGCGCCCAGGUUCUUUUGGUGCACGGUCCUGAUCCCUGUCGAGACUCCCCAGGCACCCAAGAUGCCACGGGCCGAGUACCGCUCAGGUCCGGGGCUGUGGCUGUCCCCAAAAGGCGCCAUUCAAAUACUCUUGCUCCUCCCAGUGUUCACUCUGUGGAAGAGACCUGGUGCCAGUUCACCUUUGCACUCUGGCGCCUCCCCUCUCCACCCGUUCGCGCAGUCGCAGCUUCUGGCCUUGGAUUACCGACGCCGCAUCAGGAUGCAAGUCUUCCUCAGCCAGCCUCAAUCUGAAAGGUGGCCGGCUCCCGUGCUACUGGUGGAGGUGGUCGUUGCUCGGCACCAACUGGCUCCUUAUUCCAGAAGUCCCUGUGCUGCUCACUGCUGCAAUGGCCAGGACAAGUAGUAGCUGUGAAUGAGAACUUCUAGAAAGAAGCUGUAUCCACAGAGACUGAUUGAUGAAUUAAAACUGCAGUACUGUGAAGAAACUGGAAUGUUACAGGAACUGGAUGACCAAGGAAAAAAGGUCUCCAUAUACUACCAGGACACUUACACAUGAACUUGAAACGAGGUGUCUCCCUGCUGUACUGGAGCUCCCUAUUUAGACCAGGCUGAACUUGUGGAAAUCCUGCUGCCUCUGCCUCCCAAAUACUGGAACUAAAGUUGUGCACCAUCACACUAGCUUCUUAAUCAUACGUUGAAGAUAAGAGGAAUUAAAAUGAAUAAAGAUGAUUUAGAUCAAUACAUAGACACUACUAUUGAGCACAAUCCAUGGUUUACUAUAAAAUGAAAACAUGAGCAAGGUGAAUGAUUCCUGUAAAAUUGUUUAGAAUUUGGAAUGCUGAUGGUUUGGAGGCCCUGUGAGAUAAAUCUAAGAUACCCUCCAGGGAUCAACAAACUGCUAGGAAAAUUAAAAUUCCUUGUCCUCCCUCAGCAGCCCAGCAUGAAGUCUUUAGUUCAGAAAAAAAGUGACCAAGAUAAAAAAAAAAAAAAAAAAAAAAAGUUUGUUUUUUGUUUUUUUUCAAGACAGGGUUUCUCCGUGAAGUUUUGGUGCCUAUUCUGGAUCUCACUCCCUACACCAGGCUGGCCUCGAACUCACAGAGAUCCACCUGGCUCUGCCUCUUGAGUGCUGGGAUUUAAGGCAUGUGCCACCACCGCCACCACCACCUGGCUGAAAUAUUAUUUUUGAAGUCCAGAGAACAGCUGAAACAAGGUCAUUCUAAGGAAAGGUUAAAUCAGACUUCACAGGAGUGCCCAGAGACUACAAACUAUCUCCCUUACAACAAGCUUGUAAAUUUUUGCCAGGUGGUGACCAGCCUGAUCUACAGAGUGAGAUCCAGGACAACCAGUGCUACACACAGAGAAACCUUGUCUCGAGAAAAAAAAAAAAAAAGCUUGUAAAUUUUCAUCUCUUUGCAUGCACAAUUCAUGUGGGGCCUCCUUGUUCUAUGGCAGACAAUUCAGCAGCCCCGCCACCUGCUGCAGUGGCAGCAAAUAAGCUCCCACUACCAGCUGCUCCCAGAAAGCUGCCUGGCCAUUCCUUCUAUAGUGGAAGGGGUGGGGAAAGUUUGCUUUUACCUUAAAAACAUUCUGGCAGUACCUUUGGAUACAAAGGAUGGACGUGUUGCUUGCUAAUGAUACACAUUGAAGAGCUUUAAAAGUUUCAUAACCUGAGUCUCUUAAUUAAAAAAGUCUCAAAACUGAGGCUUAAUAAGCUGCCAGCCCUCAGUUGGUUAAUAAACAACAAACAAACAAUGGAGCCUACCAACAGUCUCAUUAACUGCCACAGGCUUUAAGUAAGUAAAUGAUAUGGGUCAGAAGAAAAACAAAAGUGUAGGGACUAUUUAUUACCACUAAUUUCAAAAUCCUUUGGUUUUAUUUUGACUCUUUAAAACUUUUUCAUAAGGUAUGAAUAUUGUGAUAUACUGUGUCCCCCAAUAUAUUGUGCACCCUAAUAAAGCUUAUCUGAGGAUCAGAGGAAAAAGCCAGCCACUAUAUUAAACAUAGAAGUCAGGCAAUGAUAGCACAUGCCUUUAAUCUUAGCAUUCUGGAGGCAGAGAUUCAUCUGGAUCUCUGUGAGUUCAAGGCCACAUUGGGGAACAGAGCCAGGCAUGGUAACACAAGCCUUUAAUCCAAGCACUGGGUGAGUAGAAAGAAAUAGAAUAAGAAGAGGUAGGGCAUGACCUGAUAGGGUUGGGCUUGAAUCUUGACAGAUGAGUGUGGCCUCAUUCUUCUAAGAUCGGAGGCAGGCUGUUUGAAUUUGGUAUCCUCUGAAACUUAAGAGGGCUAGGUCCUGUUGGGAUCAAAAGAUCAUCUUGAGUUGGUGGUAUAAAUGGCUUGAGAUGGGAAAGGUGAAUCCAAUGAGGGAUACCCUUAAGCUUAGCAGCAGUUGGGGACAGCCUGAAGGGGCCUGUCCAUUUUGGAACAAGAGCACGGGAAUUGUGUCCUAGAGGAGAGAGGAGAACCAGGUCCCCAAUGUUAAUUGGAGAGGGAAGAGGACCUGGGAGAGGCUGAGGCAAAUGAUGCUGGGAGAAUUUCCAAAGAAAGGUGCAGAGAUAGUGUAACAAAGGGAUAAGGAGAUGAUCUGGGAGAGGUGAUGGUUGAGACAUGAGACCAGGAGGCAUAAUCGGCCAUCCAUCCAUGAGCUCAAAAGGGGAGAUGAGGAGGGUUUGUUUUGUUUUGUUUUGAAGGGCCCUUAAUCGCAGGAGAACCAAUAGUAGGAGUUUUAUCCAAUCCGUAUGAAGCUCUUGGGAGAGUUUGGUAAGAAUGUUUUUGAGGGAACAAUUAGUUCGUUCAACUUUGCCUGAAGACUGGGGAUGGUAGGGAAUAUGGAAACUCCAUGGGAUAUUAAGGGCUUUAGCUAGAGUUUGAGAGACUUGAGAAGUGAAUUCAGGGUCAUUAUCUGAUUGAGGGAGGUUGGGAAGAUUGAGGGCUAGUAAGGUGAGGUUGUCUGUGGCUUUUCCUAUUCUUCUGAUCUCUCAGGUUUUAAGCCCAAAAUCUGGCUCCAGGUUUUGUUUUUUAUUAAUAAGACCAUUUAGCAAUUCAUCUACAGAAUAUUAUCUCAAAAUUUAUAUUAUUUAUAUAUAUAUAUAUUAAACUUUUUGUCAUAUUAAUGGUCAUAUAGAGUACUCACUAAUUCUAGAAAAAGGCUUUAUCUAGCUUCCUGUACAUGAUUUCAGGUUUGAGUCUCUAUCAGGUAACUAGGAAUUAAGUUUUUGUACUCUGGAUGUACAUAACAAAUAUUGAUCCUUUAACCUCUUCAAGAUCUGCUGCAUAUGACAUUUAAAAUGUUUAAAUU
Long non-coding RNA from Peromyscus californicus insignis, 4257 nucleotides. RefSeq lists it as uncharacterized. The transcript has 4 exons. Lineage: Eukaryota; Metazoa; Chordata; Mammalia; Rodentia; Cricetidae. The record is from RefSeq and is a predicted model, not a curated record.